Molecule: ribosomal RNA, 605 nt
Filed under: uncultured soil bacterium
Lineage: Bacteria
Description: bacterial SSU rRNA
Rfam family: Bacterial small subunit ribosomal RNA
Source: RNAcentral
UGCCUAAUACAUGCAAGUCNAACGGGGUCCAUCCAGUGGCAACACUGGNGAAGACCUAGUGGCGAACGGGUGAGUAACACGUGAGAAACCUGCCCCGACCUCUGGAAUAACAGGUGGAAACACCUGCUAAUACUGGAUGCCUUCCCCGCACCUCCUGGUGUGGCGAAGAAAGAUUUAUCGGAUCGGGAGGGUCUCGCGGCCUAUCAGCUUGUUGGUGGGGUAACGGCCUACCAAGGCUUCGACGGGUAGCUGGUCUGAGAGGACGAUCAGCCACACUGGGACUGAGACACGGCCCAGACUCCUACGGGAGGCAGCAGUAGGGAAUCUUGCGCAAUGGGCGAAAGCCUGACGCAGCAACGCCGCGUGGGGGAUGAAGGCCCUCGGGUUGUAAACCCCUUUCAGCAGGAACGAAUCUGACGGUACCUGCAGAAGAAGGCCCGGCUAACUACGUGCCAGCAGCCGCGGUAACACGUAGGGGCCAAGCGUUGUCCGGAUUCAUUGGGCGUAAAGAGCUCGUAGGCGGUUCAGUUAGUCGGGUGUGAAAUCUCCGGGCUCAACCCGGAGGGGCCACCCGAUACUGCUGUGACUUGAGUCCGGUAGGGGAG